GGAUACGUCGAGUGUUUAGCGGGCUCGCGUCGUUCUUCGACAGCCGGUCCACUGAAGCAGACAACCUUCUGAUGAUCAUCUCGAGCGGCCCCCGAUUUGAGUAUACCCUUCAACGGGAGUCGUCAUAAGAGAUACGGUCCGUGGUCAUGGGCGGUGUGGGAGGACGUGGCGGCGCUGCGCUCCCUUCCACCACGUCUAGCGCGGUGAGACACCGCUCCAUGGCGUUCGGUUCCGCUACCGCCGCUUGCCCAAUCUUCGCCAAAUGCGCUCUCAUCUCUUCUGCUUGUUCCUCUCGAACUGCAUCCUGUUUAAAAUUCAUUAUACAUUAUUGAGAGCUCAAAUAGACCAAACACCUGAGUAUGCUGUUGUAAUUGUAACGCAAUGGUAGAUGAGUGGUCAUUGUGGUCUAAUCAAUAGAUACUGUAAUCGUUUUGAUAGUUUGAUAACUUAAUAACUUAAUAGUGUAACAACAGUUAAGUAUAUUACGGUAAAAGAUAACAUUAAAUUUGUAAAUAAGCAAUACUCGAAUUCAGAACAAGAACAAUAAUAAUCGACUUAAAUUUUUUAAAUACAUUUCAAUAAAGAUAGAUUAAACAUGUUUCUGAUUUAUAUUUUUUAAACAGCAAUCUCGUAUAACGAUUAGUACCUACUGUAUGUAUAUUCGUACAUUUGAAGUAAUUAAUGCUAGACAUUAGUUACUAUGAUCUGUGAAUAAUAUGCAACCAAAUUUAUGGAAUAUUCAUUUGCUAACCUCGAGUUCAUCUUUCAAAUUGCCUUCUCUCAUGUGAUAGUUGCGAACAUUAUCAAUAACUUCUUGCGGAAACUUCUCAGGGUUGGCAGUCAUGUAGCGGUACACGAAGAGGUCGCAACCGAUUAUUUUAAAACGAUGCUUGAAGACGGGGACUGUUGCACCUUUAUAUACAGAAAAAGACAUCUGUUAGUAUCUGCAUAUUAAAAUUUGAAUUC
Molecule: long non-coding RNA, 966 nt
Organism: Melitaea cinxia (Glanville fritillary)
Lineage: Eukaryota; Metazoa; Arthropoda; Insecta; Lepidoptera; Nymphalidae
Exons: 2
Source: RefSeq, a predicted model, not a curated record